GGGCGCUUAGCUCAGUUGGUAGAGCACCUCGUUUACACCGAGGGUGUCGGGAGUUCGAGUCUCUCAGCGCCUACCA
Molecule: transfer RNA, 76 nt
Filed under: Micavibrio sp.
Lineage: Bacteria; Pseudomonadati; Bdellovibrionota; Bdellovibrionia; Bdellovibrionales; Pseudobdellovibrionaceae
Description: tRNA-Val
Rfam family: tRNA
About the family: Transfer RNA (tRNA) molecules are approximately 80 nucleotides in length. Their secondary structure includes four short double-helical elements and three loops (D, anti-codon, and T loops).
Source: RNAcentral